UAGAGGGAGUGAAUAUGAGCGGGCUGAGGCUGGCUCUGGUGGUGGAAGAAGGCGGUCGCCGGAGCGACGAGUCCGUCGGUGAAGGUUUGGUGGUAGUGGUCGAAUAUCUGGCGGGUCUGGUCCGAAUCCUGAGGGGGCUCGUCUCCGGAGAGCAUGAUCGGAGAUGGGUUCCCCCAUUCGUAGUCCAGCAUUUCCCACUGAAGCUCAGGUUUGACGACGUUGUUCCAAAGGCCCUCAACUCGAUCUGAAGCACAACCAAGAGAGAGUAGAGAGUAGAGAGCUGAGAGCUGAGAGUUGGAGAAAACCUAAGACAAUAAUGCAAAACGGUUUGGCCUUUAUAUAUAUAUAUACAUACACACAUAUAUCUCUAUCUCGGUGUUAAAAGGCUCUCCUUUUUCCACAGUGACGGAAGAGAAACUCACCUAUGGCAGCAUGAAACCGAGUGAAAAGACAAAGACUAACGAGGAGUACUUGUUGACCGCCGAGUAAUUCAAAAACCUAAUCUCCAAAACGCAGCGUUCCACUGUAGCUUCAACUGUCUCUGCAAUGGCGUGUACAGUCAC
RNAcentral lists this long non-coding RNA (563 nucleotides) under Vitis vinifera (wine grape). Its description in RNAcentral is "long non-coding RNA (VVIN_LNC005136)". Lineage: Eukaryota; Viridiplantae; Streptophyta; Magnoliopsida; Vitales; Vitaceae. The record is from RNAcentral.